This 465-nucleotide ribosomal RNA is filed under the name uncultured Klebsiella sp. Its description in RNAcentral is "bacterial SSU rRNA". It matches the Rfam family "Bacterial small subunit ribosomal RNA", at positions 338 to 795 of the family's 1533-position model. The record is from RNAcentral. Lineage: Bacteria; Pseudomonadati; Pseudomonadota; Gammaproteobacteria; Enterobacterales; Enterobacteriaceae.
CCUACGGGGGGCUGCAGUGGGGAAUAUUGCACAAUGGGCGCAAGCCUGAUGCAGCCAUGCCGCGUGUGUGAAGAAGGCCUUCGGGUUGUAAAGCACUUUCAGCGGGGAGGAAGGCGUUAAGGUUAAUAACCUUGGCGAUUGACGUUACCCGCAGAAGAAGCACCGGCUAACUCCGUGCCAGCAGCCGCGGUAAUACGGAGGGUGCAAGCGUUAAUCGGAAUUACUGGGCGUAAAGCGCACGCAGGCGGUCUGUCAAGUCGGAUGUGAAAUCCCCGGGCCCAACCUGGGAACUGCAUUCGAAACUGGCAGGCUAGAGUCUGGUAGAGGGGGGUAGAAUUCCAGGUGUAGCGGUGAAAUGCGUAGAGAUCUGGAGGAAUACCGGUGGCGAAGGCGGCCCCCUGGACAAAGACUGACGUUCAGGUGCGAAAGCGUGGGGAGCAAACAGGAUUAGAUACCCUAGUAGUC